CAAAAAUUUCAGUAUUAUUUUUCCAAUUUCUAAAUAAAAGCCUGAUAGUGUUUUUAUUGAAAUUGGGAUGACUCUCUAGAACAAUUUGAGAAGAGAUGGGACAGGACAAGCUUGAAAGUCAUGUACUUGAUACUAAAUGAAAUACUUUGAAGUACAGAAGCCAAGAGAUAAGGGAUUAAUCAAGAAAUCACUGAAGAGGAUGCCUGUCAUGGCUGGACGGGAAACUACACAAAAAAAAUCCUUCCCUUGUAACUUGGAAGUGUUUUGAAGCAGGCUUUCUUGACACCUUCACCUUAGACAGUAACAAAAUACAAGUUGACAUUUAUGGUUAAUAAAUGAUCCAGAUAGCAGCUAACAAAUUUUUUUGUGUCCCUGAAUUUCUCAGGUUCAAUAUGGUUAUGUGUAAUAGUGAAAAAAAAAAAACAAACAGGUUUGAGAUGACAUAAUCUGUAGUCUACAAUAAUCAUCCUCUAAAUGUGAGAAAUUUGAAAGUCUGGCAUUACUUUUUUAUAAACAAGGGCUUAAUAGUUUCCAAAAAACCUAUAAAAUCAUAAAGCAGAUAAUUUGCUCUUGUCUCCUAGGGAGUUCAUCUUGUUUAGCAUCACUUAACUUACCUAUGAUAUCUCAGGACAGGACUCUGAGGAGUUUCCUUGCUUGUUUAAG
RNAcentral lists this long non-coding RNA (663 nucleotides) under Heterocephalus glaber (naked mole-rat). RNAcentral describes it as "lncRNA (ENSHGLG00100035368.1)". Lineage: Eukaryota; Metazoa; Chordata; Mammalia; Rodentia; Bathyergidae. The record is from RNAcentral.